CAGUCGCCGCGGUAAUACGUAGGUGGCAAGCGUUGUCCGGAAUUAUUGGGCGUAAAGGGCUCGCAGGCGGUUUCUUAAGUCUGAUGUGAAAGCCCCCGGCUCAACCGGGGAGGGUCAUUGGAAACUGGGAAACUUGAGUGCAGAAGAGGAGAGUGGAAUUCCACGUGUAGCGGUGAAAUGCGUAGAGAUGUGGAGGAACAUCAGUGGCGAAGGCGACUCUCUGGUCUGUGACUGACGCUGAGAGACGAAAGCUAGGGGAGCAAAUGGGAUUAGAUACCCCUGUAGUCCCUGUCUCUUAUAA
Molecule: ribosomal RNA, 301 nt
Filed under: uncultured bacterium
Lineage: Bacteria
Description: partial 16S ribosomal RNA
Rfam family: Bacterial small subunit ribosomal RNA
Source: RNAcentral